Molecule: ribosomal RNA, 137 nt
Filed under: Hydrobaenus biwaquartus
Lineage: Eukaryota; Metazoa; Arthropoda; Insecta; Diptera; Chironomidae
Description: partial 18S rRNA
Rfam family: Eukaryotic small subunit ribosomal RNA
Source: RNAcentral
UAGUGAGACUUUGGAGUAGACACUGUAAACGCUUGCGUUUUGCGGUCGUUCUGUCAAAGUUGAUACAAACUUGAUGAUUUGGAGGAAGUAAAAGUCGUAACAAGGUUUCCGUAGGUGAACCUGCGGAAGGAUCAUUA